This 553-nucleotide ribosomal RNA is filed under the name Candida tropicalis. Its description in RNAcentral is "eukaryotic LSU rRNA". It matches the Rfam family "Eukaryotic large subunit ribosomal RNA", at positions 38 to 597 of the family's 3401-position model. The record is from RNAcentral. Lineage: Eukaryota; Fungi; Ascomycota; Pichiomycetes; Serinales; Debaryomycetaceae.
GCAUAUCAAUAAGCGGAGGAAAAGAAACCAACAGGGAUUGCCUUAGUAGCGGCGAGUGAAGCGGCAAAAGCUCAAAUUUGAAAUCUGGCUCUUUCAGAGUCCGAGUUGUAAUUUGAAGAAGGUAUCUUUGGGUCUGGCUCUUGUCUAUGUUUCUUGGAACAGAACGUCACAGAGGGUGAGAAUCCCGUGCGAUGAGAUGAUCCAGGCCUAUGUAAAGUUCCUUCGAAGAGUCGAGUUGUUUGGGAAUGCAGCUCUAAGUGGGUGGUAAAUUCCAUCUAAAGCUAAAUAUUGGCGAGAGACCGAUAGCGAACAAGUACAGUGAUGGAAAGAUGAAAAGAACUUUGAAAAGAGAGUGAAAAAGUACGUGAAAUUGUUGAAAGGGAAGGGCUUGAGAUCAGACUUGGUAUUUUGUAUGUUACUUCUUCGGGGGUGGCCUCUACAGUUUAUCGGGCCAGCAUCAGUUUGGGCGGUAGGAGAAUUGCGUUGGAAUGUGGCACGGCUUCGGUUGUGUGUUAUAGCCUUCGUCGAUACUGCCAGCCUAGACUGAGGACUG